This 75-nucleotide transfer RNA is filed under the name Yarrowia lipolytica CLIB122. RNAcentral describes it as "tRNA YALI0_D14168r". It matches the Rfam family "tRNA". Rfam says of the family: Transfer RNA (tRNA) molecules are approximately 80 nucleotides in length. Their secondary structure includes four short double-helical elements and three loops (D, anti-codon, and T loops). Further hydrogen bonds mediate the characteristic L-shaped molecular structure. tRNAs have two regions of fundamental functional importance: the anti-codon, which is responsible for specific mRNA codon recognition, and the 3' end, to which the tRNAs corresponding amino acid is attached (by aminoacyl-tRNA synthetases). tRNAs cope with the degeneracy of the genetic code in two manners: having more than one tRNA (with a specific anti-codon) for a particular amino acid; and 'wobble' base-pairing, i.e. permitting non-standard base-pairing at the 3rd anti-codon position. Lineage: Eukaryota; Fungi; Ascomycota; Dipodascomycetes; Dipodascales. The record is from RNAcentral.
GCCUGGCUAGCUCAAUCGGUAGAGCGUGAGACUCUUAUCAUCUCAAGGCUGUGGGUUCAAGCCCCACGUCGGGCU